This 484-nucleotide ribosomal RNA is filed under the name uncultured bacterium. RNAcentral describes it as "partial 16S ribosomal RNA". It matches the Rfam family "Bacterial small subunit ribosomal RNA", at positions 30 to 507 of the family's 1533-position model. The record is from RNAcentral.
AUUGAACGCUGGCGGCAGGCCUAACACAUGCAAGUCGAGCGGAUGAAGGGAGCCUGCUCCUGGAUUCAGCGGCGGACGGGUGAGUAAUGCCUAGGAAUCUGCCUGGUAGUGGGGGAUAACGUCCGGAAACGGGCGCUAAUACCGCAUACGUCCUGAGGGAGAAAGUGGGGGAUCUUCGGACCUCACGCUAUCAGAUGAGCCUAGGUCGGAUUAGCUAGUUGGUGGGGUAAAGGCCUACCAAGGCGACGAUCCGUAACUGGUCUGAGAGGAUGAUCAGUCACACUGGAACUGAGACACGGUCCAGACUCCUACGGGAGGCAGCAGUGGGGAAUAUUGGACAAUGGGCGAAAGCCUGAUCCAGCCAUGCCGCGUGUGUGAAGAAGGUCUUCGGAUUGUAGAGCACUUUAAGUUGGGAGGAAGGGCAGUAAGUUAAUACCUUGCUGUUUUGACGUUACCAACAGAAUAAGCACCGGCUAACUUCGUG